CACCGCCGCACCCUUUCUUCUCUCAUUCAUCCACAUCCUGGCCCCAAAGAUGGCAUCUCUUUUUCGGUGCAAAUGUUUGGUGUUAUUCACCGAUCUCACAUCACAAACGGGUCUGGCUAAUCAUUUAGGAGCAGACUAUAGCAUGUUGAUUAUUCAUGGCGUUUCAAGGGCUCAAUUGAGAAAGGUCGUUAGGUACAUCAGUGCAUAGAAACUUGCAGUCUGAGAAGCUUGAAGUGUCAUGUUGCGUGUUGUUUGAAGAGAACAUUUAAUAUUAUUGUUAGGAUCUGAGUUUGACUUGAUUGUGUUAUUUUAAUUAAGUUGGUAAAUGGAAGAAGAUAAAACAGAGAAUAAUUGCAGCAGAAAUGAAUGUAAAACAUUAUAACACAAUCAAUGAAAGAUAGUUUUCAUCA
Long non-coding RNA from Helianthus annuus (common sunflower), 410 nucleotides. RefSeq lists it as uncharacterized. The record is from RefSeq and is a predicted model, not a curated record. The transcript is spliced from 3 exons. NCBI's taxonomy places the organism in Eukaryota, Viridiplantae, Streptophyta, Magnoliopsida, Asterales, Asteraceae.